GAUCAAGUGUCUUAAGGGCAAUUGGUGGAUGCCUUGGCAUGCACAGGCGAUGAAGGACGUGAUACGCUGCGAUAAG
This 76-nucleotide ribosomal RNA is filed under the name Mesorhizobium tamadayense. RNAcentral's name for it is "partial 23S ribosomal RNA". The record is from RNAcentral. Lineage: Bacteria; Pseudomonadati; Pseudomonadota; Alphaproteobacteria; Hyphomicrobiales; Phyllobacteriaceae.